CCCCUCCCAGUAUCGCACCUGGAGAGUUUCUAGUACUCUACUAGUCUUUACUAUGGGAGGGAGAGUCAAGCAGAGGCAUACCAUUCCAUUCCUAGCUUGGCCAGUAGCUAGUGAGUGGAAGGCAAUCCGCUACAAGU
Molecule: non-coding RNA, 137 nt
Organism: Ornithorhynchus anatinus (platypus)
Lineage: Eukaryota; Metazoa; Chordata; Mammalia; Monotremata; Ornithorhynchidae
Source: Rfam